UAGGGAAUCUUCCGCAAUGGGCGAAAGCCUGACGGAGCAACGCCGCGUGAGUGAUGAAGGUCUUCGGAUCGUAAAACUCUGUUAUUAGGGAAGAACAAAUGUGUAAGUAACUAUGCACGUCUUGACGGUACCUAAUCAGAAAGCCACGGCUAACUACGUGCCAGCAGCCGCGGUAAUACGUAGGUGGCAAGCGUUAUCCGGAAUUAUUGGGCGUAAAGCGCGCGUAGGCGGUUUUUUAAGUCUGAUGUGAAAGCCCACGUCUCAACAGUGGAGGGUCAUUGGAAACUGGAAAACUUGAGUGCAGAAGAGGAAAGUGGAAUUCCAUGUGUAGCAGUGAAAUGCGCAGAGAUAUGGAGGAACACCAGUGGCGAAGGCGACUUUCUGGUCUGUAACUGACGCUGAUGUGCGAAAGCGUGGGGAUCAAACAGG
This 429-nucleotide ribosomal RNA is filed under the name Actinomycetes bacterium. RNAcentral's name for it is "Actinobacteria bacterium partial 16S ribosomal RNA". It matches the Rfam family "Bacterial small subunit ribosomal RNA", at positions 355 to 776 of the family's 1533-position model. The record is from RNAcentral. Lineage: Bacteria; Bacillati; Actinomycetota; Actinomycetes.